AUCUGAUGUGCAUGUUACACUUACCGCACAGGUGUCUGAAGUCAGACUAGCCACAUUCCAAGCGCUCAAGAGCUGCAUGCAGGCCACGGCCCCUGCGUCGGAUGGGACAGCUCUAGACUCUGCACGCACCUCAAGUUCCUCAUCUGGUUCCCCUCUUCUUAGGUCUACCCAUCUGCAUAUUCAUUCUCUACCCGCAGAGCUGCAGUUAUCCCAGGGUCCUUAUUCUUUCCCCUGAGUUUGAGUUAUUAGAUAUAGAAUAGCAUUCAGGGACUGCCUCUGGGCUGCCAAUGGUGACCUUUGUCACUCCAAGUUCUAUAGAACAGAAAUUCUGGAGACUGAGAAGUCCAAAAUCAGGAUGCCAGCAGAGCACAACUGGAGGCACCUACAACUGGAAUAUACAACUAUGUACUGGGGGGCUUUGGGGAGAAGAAGAAGAAAAAAAGAAGAAGAUUGGCAACAGAUGUUAGCUCAGGUGCCAAUCAUUAAAAAAAAAAGAAUGCAGGGGCUGGCCCCGUGGCCGAGUGGUUAAGUUCGCUUGCUCUGCUUUGGCGGCCCAAGGUUUCACCGGUUCGAAUCCUGGGUACGGACAUGGCACCAUUCGUCAAUCCACACUGAGACAGCAUCCCACAUGCCACAACUAGAAGGACCCACAACUAAAAAUGCACAGCUAUGUACCAGGGGGCUUUGGGGAGAAAAAGGAAAAAAAAAUUUUUAAAAAAGAAAGGAUGUAGGCAGAUUCGGUGUCUACUGAGAGCUGGCUUCUUGAUUCAUAGAAUGCCAUCUUCUUGCUAUGUCCUCACACGGCAGAGGGAGCGAGGGAGCUCUCUGAGGUCUCUUUCAUGAGGGUUCCACCCUCAUGAGCUAAUCACCUCCCAAAGGCCCCUCCUCCAAAUACCAUCACAUUGGGGAUUAGGUUUCAACAUACGAAUUUGGGGGGGACACAGACAUUCAGUCUAUAGCGAUGUCCCAGGAGAAUGACCCAGCAAUCCAAGUUCUGAAGGGCAGCCAGAAUAUGUGUGUAUACUCCAAAUCUGGCUCCUUUUGCGAGUAACUAUUGGAUCUGGAUUCCCUCUUCUCUCUCUCUGUCUUGGUCUCUCUGUCUCCGUGCCUCUGUGUUUCUAUCUCUGUCUCUCUC
RNAcentral lists this long non-coding RNA (1135 nucleotides) under Equus asinus (donkey). RNAcentral's name for it is "lncRNA (ENSEASG00005031001.1)". Lineage: Eukaryota; Metazoa; Chordata; Mammalia; Perissodactyla; Equidae. The record is from RNAcentral.